Molecule: ribosomal RNA, 853 nt
Filed under: uncultured bacterium Pn14
Lineage: Bacteria; Pseudomonadati; Bacteroidota; Bacteroidia; Bacteroidales; Bacteroidaceae
Description: SSU rRNA
Rfam family: Bacterial small subunit ribosomal RNA
Source: RNAcentral
UACGGAGGAUGCGAGCGUUAUCCGGAUUUAUUGGGUUUAAAGGGUGCGUAGGUGGUUUCGUAAGUCAGCGGUGAAAUCUUUCCGCUUAACGGGAAAAUUGCCGUUGAAACUGCGGGACUUGAGACCGGACAAGGUAUGCGGAAUUCGUGGUGUAGCGGUGAAAUGCAUAGAUAUCACGAAGAACUCCGAUAGCGUAGGCAGCAUACCGGGGCGGAUCUGACACUGAAGCACGAAAGUGUGGGUAUCAAACAGGAUUAGAUACCCUGGUAGUCCACACGGUAAACGAUGAAUACUGACUGUUUGCGAUACACUGUAAGCGGUUAAGCGAAAGCGUUAAGUAUUCCACCUGGGGAGUACGCCGGCAACGGUGAAACUCAAAGGAAUUGACGGGGGCCCGCACAAGCGGAGGAACAUGUGGUUUAAUUCGAUGAUACGCGAGGAACCUUACCCGGGCUCGAACGGCCGAUGAAUAACGGUGAAAGCCGUUCGUCGCAAGACAUCGGUCGAGGUGCUGCAUGGUUGUCGUCAGCUCGUGCCGUGAGGUGUCGGCUUAAGUGCCAUAACGAGCGCAACCCUUACCGUCAGUUACCAUCAGGUAAAGCUGGGGACUCCGACGGGACUGCCGCCGUAAGGUGUGAGGAAGGCGGGGAUGACGUCAAAUCAGCACGGCCCUUACGUCCGGGGCGACACACGUGUUACAAUGGGGGGGACAGAAGGCAGCUACUCGGCGACGAGAUGCGAAUCCCCAAACCCUCUCCCGGUUCGGAUCGGAGUCUGCAACCCGACUCCGUGAAGCCGGAUUCGCUAGUAAUCGCGCAUCAGCCAUGGCGCGGUGAAUACGUUCCCGGGCCUU